RNAcentral lists this transfer RNA (77 nucleotides) under Aliivibrio fischeri. Its description in RNAcentral is "tRNA-Arg". It matches the Rfam family "tRNA". From Rfam's summary of the family: Transfer RNA (tRNA) molecules are approximately 80 nucleotides in length. Their secondary structure includes four short double-helical elements and three loops (D, anti-codon, and T loops). Further hydrogen bonds mediate the characteristic L-shaped molecular structure. tRNAs have two regions of fundamental functional importance: the anti-codon, which is responsible for specific mRNA codon recognition, and the 3' end, to which the tRNAs corresponding amino acid is attached (by aminoacyl-tRNA synthetases). tRNAs cope with the degeneracy of the genetic code in two manners: having more than one tRNA (with a specific anti-codon) for a particular amino acid; and 'wobble' base-pairing, i.e. permitting non-standard base-pairing at the 3rd anti-codon position. RNAcentral also lists the same sequence under 71 other names. The record is from RNAcentral. Lineage: Bacteria; Pseudomonadati; Pseudomonadota; Gammaproteobacteria; Vibrionales; Vibrionaceae.
GCGCCCUUAGCUCAGCUGGAUAGAGCACGUCCCUUCUAAGGAUGUGGUCGUAGGUUCGAAUCCUACAGGGCGCGCCA